UCGAGGAUCUUCGUCAAUGGGCGAAAGCCUGAACGAGCGACGCCGCGUGCGCGAUGAAGGCCUUCGGGUUGUAAAGCGCGAAAGUGGGGACGAAGCCGAAAGGUUGACUGAUCCACAGUAAGCUCGGGCUAAGUUCGUGCCAGCAGCCGCGGUAAGACGAACCGAGCGAACGUUGUUCGGAAUCACUGGGCUUAAAGGGCGCGUAGGCGGGUAUUCAAGUCUGUGGUGAAAUCCGGCAGCUUAACUGUCGAAUUGCCGCGGAUACUGGGUAUCUCGAGGGAGGUAGGGGCGUGCGGAACUAAUGGUGGAGCGGUGAAAUGCGUUGAUAUCAUUAGGAACUCCGGUGGCGAAGGCGGCACGCUGGACCUCUUCUGACGCUGAGGCGCGAAAGCCAGGGGAGCAAACGG
RNAcentral lists this ribosomal RNA (407 nucleotides) under uncultured bacterium. Its description in RNAcentral is "bacterial SSU rRNA". It matches the Rfam family "Bacterial small subunit ribosomal RNA", at positions 355 to 775 of the family's 1533-position model. The record is from RNAcentral.